UGGGGAAUAUUGCACAAUGGGGGAAACCCUGAUGCAGCGACGCCGCGUGAGCGAAGAAGGUUUUCGAAUCGUAAAGCUCUGUCCUAUGAGAAGAUAAUGACGGUAUCAUAGGAGGAAGCCCCGGCUAAAUACGUGCCAGCAGCCGCGGUAAUACGUAUGGGGCGAGCGUUGUCCGGAAUUAUUGGGCGUAAAGGGUACGUAGGCGGAUAAGCAAGUUAGAAGUGAAAUCCUAUAGCUCAACUAUAGUAAGCUCUUAAAACUGCUCAUCUUGAGGUAUGGAAGGGAAAGUGGAAUUCCUAGUUUAGCGGUGAAAUGCGCAGAUAUUAGGAGGAAUACCGGUGGCGAAGGCGACUUUCUGGCCAUAUACUGACGCUGAGGUACGAAAGCGUGGGUAGCAAACAGG
Molecule: ribosomal RNA, 403 nt
Filed under: Verrucomicrobiota bacterium
Lineage: Bacteria; Pseudomonadati; Verrucomicrobiota
Description: Verrucomicrobia bacterium partial 16S ribosomal RNA
Rfam family: Bacterial small subunit ribosomal RNA
Source: RNAcentral